GAUGAACGCUGGCGGCGUGCCUAAUACAUGCAAGUCGAGCGAACAGACGAGGAGCUUGCUCCUCUGACGUAGCGGCGGACGGGUGAGUAACACGUGGAUAACCUACCUAUAAGACUGGGAUAACUUCGGGAAACCGGAGCUAAUACCGGAUAAUAUAUUUAACCGCAUGGUUCCAUAGUGAAAGACGGUUUUGCUGUCACUUAUAGAUGGAUCCGCGCCGCAUUAGCUAGUUGGUAAGGUAACGGCUUACCAAGGCAACGAUGCGUAGCCGACCUGAGAGGGUGAUCGGCCACACUGGAACUGAGACACGGUCCAGACUCCUACGGGAGGCAGCAGUAGGGAAUCUUCCGCAAUGGGCGAAAGCCUGACGGAGCAACGCCGCGUGAGUGAUGAAGGUCUUCGGAUCGUAAAACUCUGUUAUUAGGGAAGAACAAAUGUGUAAGUAACUAUGCACGUCUUGACGGUACCUAAUCAGAAAGCCACGGCUAACUACGUG
This 496-nucleotide ribosomal RNA is filed under the name uncultured bacterium. RNAcentral's name for it is "partial 16S ribosomal RNA". It matches the Rfam family "Bacterial small subunit ribosomal RNA", at positions 28 to 507 of the family's 1533-position model. The record is from RNAcentral.